GGUGUGGUUUCCUGUAGUGUUGUAGAAGGAAGGUCAACAUCCAUCAAGAUGGAGGAGGUGAGUGGUGUUGUUUCCUGUAGUGUUGAAGGAAGUCAACAACCAUCAAGAUGGAGGAGGUGAGUGGUGUGGUUUCCUGUAGUGUUGUAGAAGGAAGUCAACAACCAUCAAGAUGCAGGAGGUGAGUGGUGUGGUUUCCUGUAGUGUUAAUGGAGGAGGUGAGUGGUGUGGUUUCCUGUAGUGUUAAUGGAGGAGGUGAGUGGUGUGGUUUCCUGUAGUGUUGAUGGAGGAGGUGAGUGGUGUGGUUUCCUGUAGUGUUGAUGGAGGAGGUGAGUGGUGUGGUUUCCUGUAGUGUUGAUGGAGGAGGUGAGUGGUGUGGUUUCCUGUAGUGUUGUAAACUGACACUGUGACUCCUCCUCUCCUACUGCUUGUCCGGUUUUCUUUAUUACAUCUCCGAGGGUUUUACACAUCAAUCUGCCUCUUUUGAAGCAUUAUAAAAGCUAGGCGCCCAUACUGACGUGUCCUCUUUAGUAUUGGGCCCACUAAUAACCCGUACAUAAUAACUGUCCUCCUGUAUAGCUGCAGUGGCAUGGUGCUUGCAACUCCAGGAUUGUGAGUUUGAUUCAUAUUUGGGGACUCUAUUAGAUUGUUUAGUUCAAUUCAAUCUGGUAUGAGAACGGUAUUCACAGUCUGCGGAAAGCUGAGGAUCUUGGCUAUUGAGCUGUGCCUUAAAUUCUUUGGUGUGAUUUGCUAAUAUAUAUAUGAGCAUCCGAAUGUAUAACGGCAGGCUGAGCCGACGACCUCAUUUCAAGAUGGCUGCUACCUACAUUCCGGUUAGCGUUUUGAAGCAUAAACUAAAUAAACAUGGAAUACGUCGAUACACAUCGAAAGCCGGGACUCCACAGAUCAUGACGGUGUGUUAUUUAUCUGCCUGUGACCUACCGUUAUUGAUCACCGGCCCCGAGAGUCAAAAUGUUUAUUUUACACACAGUUUUCACCAAACAUCUUACAAGGUAAGCUUCGAUUAGGUCUGUGUUUGAGCUAUAGCCAUAUGUGGGGGUAUGAAGUUUAAUCCUUAGACUAGAUUUGUUCCUACCAACCUAUUUGCUAAUGUUAUCUGAUGAAUGACUUAAUGGCCACGUCGAACGUCCACUGAGUGACUAUCUUUGCACAACAACAAAAAAUGACGUUGCCUGCUUACACCCAGUAGGCAUUCAUUACACACAGGAUUGGCUACUAUGGCACCUUGACAAUCUUGUAGCCAAUGAGAUAAGCUUUUCAGGGAUAUGCAGUUGACCUGGGUGGAAUAAAGCAAGGUUUAGAACCUUUUUAUGCGUAAUGCGAACUAUUGUUACCUGGCUCAGACACGAGACGCACCAAUUACAUUGUAAACAUAUUUCAUCGCUUUAACAUAAAAGAUUGCUUCUCAAGUGGGGGGGGGGGGGGGGUAAGAACUAAGAAUAUUGAACAGGAAGCUAAAAAGAAGGUCGCUAUGAGUAAGUAUACCGACAUAGAAGCUUUGAAUAAAAUACUGGACGGACUCGGAUCAGGGGAGCGAUUUGAACAACAAGGAUUUCGACCCGGCCGACAAAGAUUGCUUUCUAGAAGGAUUGGAUCCACUUUUAGGUCUGAGGAAGCAGAGUAUUUGGAUGAUGUUUGGGAGCCACCCCUCCCCAGCAAGUGCCCCCGUCGGUCAAGGUCUUCACCCCCCCCCACUGUUAUGUCAAUCACCCGUCUGAUGGUUCUGCAUCCACUUAUCAAAGACCUCUUGAAAAAAUCAAAAGGACUGCCUCUAGGGAAGUAACCAUGUCAGAAAUGCCAGUUCACUUUUUGUUUCCUGGCAGAGAGGGACUGCUUCAAAGACUAUCACGACAUGCACAAGCUACGGUGAAAGUGAAAUCUAAUCAUCUACACCUGGGAUGUAAAACAAACACGAAUGCCAUUUGUAAGGUGUUCAGCUUAUUUAUGUUUUUGCACAAAAUAAAAUGUGAAGGACACGUGUGUAACCAAGUUUGUGUUUGAUAAGACUUUUUUUUAAAUAUAUUUUUUUUGUUUAUCUGUUACUUUUUAUAUUGUUUUUGUGAACAGUUAAUUUGUAUGUGGGACCAAUACAUUAGAUAUGCCUAGGCUAAAUCUUCAGGCACUUUGGAGAGUGCCCCUGAAACCACCACGAUGUUUGAGAGAGGUUGGUGUUGUAGAAAUUUAGUUUUUAUAGUGAACAAUAGUAGCUAGUUACUUUUAGGCACAUCCAGUGUGCAAAAACAGUGCAGUUACCAAAUUCGGACACUUUCGGAUACUUUGGAGAGGUUGAAAGGACACUUGAAUUUACCCUGGACACCCCAUAACACAACCACAAUGUUUGAGUGAGGUUGAUAUGGUAGAAAUAGUUUUUAUACUGAACAAAUAGCAUUUAGGAAUUGCAAAUAUGUAAUAGCACUGGAAUUAUCUCAUUUACAGACAAAUGCCACUUUGGAGAGGUUUAGGGACACUUGGAAAUAUCCUGUGACCACACCUGACACCACUCACUAAAACAUCUACCCAUUUUGAAUUGUUAGGUCUCAAUCCCCCCCCCCCCAAAAAAAUCUGAUAUUGUUCACAUGAUGAGGAAGCCAUCUGAUGUGUUUCCUGCUCUAGUCAUCAAUAAAUCACUUACAGCUUGUCAAUGAAAGAUGACUUUCAAAAUAAAGAACCUAAAUACUGGUUA
Molecule: long non-coding RNA, 2701 nt
Organism: Salvelinus fontinalis (brook trout)
Lineage: Eukaryota; Metazoa; Chordata; Actinopteri; Salmoniformes; Salmonidae
Exons: 2
Source: RefSeq, a predicted model, not a curated record